Long non-coding RNA from Falco peregrinus (peregrine falcon), 11180 nucleotides. RefSeq lists it as uncharacterized. Lineage: Eukaryota; Metazoa; Chordata; Aves; Falconiformes; Falconidae. The record is from RefSeq and is a predicted model, not a curated record. The transcript has 10 exons.
AAAAUUUCACUAAUGUUAAUUUCACUAAUGUCAUUAACUGAGAAACAGGGAAGGAAGUGGCUUGCCAUAGCUGGAGGUGGUGGAAGCUUUUGUCCUGGAACAUCAGUUUCUCUCUCCAAGCUACAACAGACAAAAUGACAGCCUGUCAGCCUUUCUUGAGGAGCGGUACCCAAGACUGGAUGUGCCUCUGCACUGAGGCAUUACUAAUACUGAGUACUGUGAAAGGACCUGCAAGAUGUCUUGCAAUGAACCAUUGGAAACUACUCUCAGAGUGCAGAUUCCAACCAGAUUUGUGUCAUGACUUCAGCCAGGGCAUUCUUGCACUCAUGAAUCUCUUGUGGGACAAUGUCAGGAGCCUCAGUGACAUUGAGGAGGGAUGGAAGAUGGUAAAUGUGACAACAAUCUCUGAGAAGGUCCCCAGGAGCGGAGUGGAGAACUGCAGACUGUCACACUGGAGUCUGUACUGAGAAAUUAGAAGCUCUGGCCUCAAACUGCUCUGGGUAUGUGCUCUGAGAGCUGUGUGGGCAAUGAAGACAGUAGCUGAAGCAAUUACUGAAGCAUUAGUGACAACCCUGGAAGCUCUUGGAAGGCAGAGAUGAUGCUGUUCUACUGCAGUGAAGCAUCAGAAGUCCCUGGCUGUCAGCACAGCCCUGUCAGUACGGGGAACGGGGGAGGAUGUGGGCACAGGAGAUGUCGGAUGAAUGCCCCAAAGUGCUGCUUGGGGCCACCAUUUUAUGCUUCAGAUUAAGCUGCAAAGAGCAAGUGACCUUUUUUCCCAGAGAGCCUGAAAGAGCAGGAAUCGGAUUUUGCCUUCACUUACCCCUUAAGGAGCUGCCAGAGGAGGAAAGGGCUGUAUCUGCCAGUUCCCUGCAGCCCUUGCCGGGGAGCCGCACCACAGUGUGAAGGAAGCGCUGAGCAGGAAUCAGGCAUGCUGGCAUCAUGCUGGGUUAGUUUCCUCUUGGAAGUGAAAAGUGGAGCAAGCCACAACUGAGACAAGGUGACUUUCAGUUUAUUCAAUGCAUUGUUUACUUAAUGCAUGGUAACAGAUCUCUGGAGCAGACUUUGCCCUGCUCCUCAUCCUCAACUUAUCCCACAGCUCCUACAUCAGAAAAAGCUUGUUGCUGGGCUGGUGGAGCUAAAAGGGGGCAGCCAACAGCCAUGGCUGUGUUGCUUCAGCAGCUCCUAUUUCUUAGUAGGAUGUAAGUGCCAGAAGGGGCUGUUUCUCUGCCUUCACAGAUGCUCCCUUCAGCCCAGCUUGCUCUUUACUCCGUUUCAGCAAACACGGCUCUGGCUGGUGAAGUCCUUGUUCCAGCAUGUUUCGUAAAUAUUGCCGUUAAAUGGAGGGUAGAAAGCAUUUAAUUCAGGGGGAGGAUAGUUGGACACCUGGAAAGACAAGUGCACCCCAAACUUAACUGGAAGUUGAACAGUGAUCACUGCAGAGACUGAGCUGUGCGAGGGCAGAAAACCCAAGUGGCUUUUUUGUGCCCACAUUGUUCACACAAGCUGGGGAGCAAAGUCUGGCAACAUUGACCACACAGUUGGGCCUUGCCCACCUCUGCACUUAAGUCUCAUCUUGUUACUCUUUAAAAGAAGUCUCUAAAAAUACUUCCCUUAUAAGGAAGCCUUUUAGAGAAGUCUCUAAAAGAUGUCCUUUACUAGGAUAAUGAGAUGAGGUAUAAGUGCAGAGGUGGGAGGGGGCAGGCUGCACCAGAGAAGUUGCCUGAGAGGGGCAAGACCCAUCCAGAGCGUCCAAGGCAGGGACUGACAGUGGCUGCAAGACCUCACUCUGCAGCUCAAAUGAGUUGUUUGAAGAUAAAAAUGCUGCCCAGGGUUUCUUUCCCCCAAUCCAGUCUCUGCAGUGAUUGCUGUUCUUAAGAGCCCUGGCUGCUGGAGCAGAGUGCAUGAACAGACCUGACCUGUGUCCCAAAAGGGAAUCCCUGUGCAACUUUUGGGGUUGUUUGCAGUUAGUACAGAAACUGGCUAGUGCAGCAUGGCUCACGGGCAGGACACUGCUCUGCUGAGGGAGCUGGCACCAGGACAGAACCGCCAAGGCUGUGUCCGUCUGGGGUGCUGCUACCAGCUCAUGCAGCUGAGGUCAAAACAUGUCUCUUCUUCCUACCCAAUAAGUCUGUUCAGGCUGAAUCACCACUUUGCUGUUGAGAAAAGCUCAAAUAUAAAACUGCAUGAACUUACUUGUGUCUCCUACUACCUAGACAUCCCAAAGAGGCAGCUGCUUCUUUACCUACCUCCUCAGGGACAGGCAGCCAGUACCUACUGGGAAUGCCAGCCAGGCAGGAUCACAGAAGCUUCUUCCCCAGGUAGGGGCACUGGAGAGGGGGCUGCUCAUCCUGUCUCUGGAGAGAAGGUGGGGCUGUGUGCAUGUCAAGGCUGUCUGGAUGUAUUUCUGCUAUCUCUUGCCCAGUGCAGGAUGUGCUACAAAGGAAACAAAAGUGCUUCAUUCCCCUCAUACUGCCUCUCUUCCUUGGGCACCCAGCCCUUGCUCCAGACUGCUCUCGGGACUGAAGCAAGGAGUUUGCUGGGAAAAUGAGAUGUGAGGGGCACCAGCUUCUUCCCAGCAACCUUUCCCUGCUAAUAACUUCAGGGAAACCAAAACAGUAAGAAUAACCUGGCUUUGGCUGCUAAAAAACAGGUAAAGCAAAGAAGUGAAAAGCUAUGAUGGAGAUCAGGGAGAUCCUUCCCCUCCUCCUUUGCUCUUGCACACAAACAAUGGCUGCCUUGGGUUCCAGUCCUGCAAGGAACCUGCCCUGGCUGGGGAAGGCAGCCCCAGAAAGCAGCAUAAGGAAGUUUUAUUUAUUUGUUCUUUGCUUACCACUUUCUCUGACCUCCAGUGCUGGCUCUGCAGUGAAAGCAGGACCUGUACCAGGCAGGAUGUAGGCUCCAGGAGGUCACAGCAGAAAGGGCCACGUCCACAGGAGAUGCCUGGACCCACUGGCCACACAGCCCUGACAUCUGAGAUGAGUUUUAACACAGCUUUAAAUGGUGUGAUUCACAUUGCUGAUGCAAUCUUCUCUUGCUGCAGAACAAAACCCUUUGCACCAGAGCAGCCUCAUGUGCCAUCCCUGGGCAGAAAGAGUCCUAUAUCUGUCCUUUUGCCUCCAUUCCUGGCAUCCAGGUUUUUCAGAUGCAUUUCACGCUUACCAGCAGGCAAGUCAAGAGCUGAAGCACGGCUGCAGCCACAGAGUGCUUCAGCAAUGCAAUUUCCUCUAAUCACUUACAUGAUGAUUGCAGGAGUUUUGCCUCCCUGUUUGUAGCAGCAUGAAGCAGGUGAGUGAGGAAGGCACAUGGCCAAAAGCAUUGGCUAGCUCAGCACCAGUUGUGUGUAGGUUUCCAAGCAUGGCCACAUUUUAAGUGCUGUUCUACCCGAAGGGUGGGAACAUUGUUGAUUAACAUCUGCUUUUAGGGCACCAGAAAUCACAGCCAGACUUACUUUCCUGGGAGAUACAUUUGUGCAGGUGGGCUCUGAGAGAAGCAGCAAGAGGUGCUGGUGCAGCCUUGGGUGCUGGAAAUGGCUGUGAAAGCUUCAUCAGCAAGAAGGCAGGGCCUGAAACAUCCAUGAGCUGGUGGAGGAAUGGGGAAAUCAGGAUCAGCUGGAGACGGUGUGAGCUCCUGAUUAUUGCAUUGCUAAAAGAGGCUGAUUUUAUCUUAUUUCACAGUGCAUCUACAACCUGUGAGAGUCUUCACAAUGGCUCAUUUGGAUCAAAUCUCAGGGAGGAUUUAAAGAGCAAUGUUUGCAGGCUGGAGAUACGCUGGCUUCCUAAAUACUGGUUACACAUGGGACAGCUUGAUCUGAAGAGAAACCCCUCGGAACACCAUGGCUUCCCCUAGAGCUAGGGAACUAGAAUAUUCCCAGGUCUGUCCUACCCGUGCUGGCUGCUGAGGAAGUUGCCUUUUGUGCCUUAAAAUCUUGUACUAGCUUGACAUUAUCAUUGUGCAUUUAACUGGUCGAGACAUGCUUCUGUCUGCACUCUCCAUUUAGACCUGCCUUCAGUUUGGAAGGAUUUUUCUUAUGCCUACUCUACUCUUCUCUUCAAUUGUACCAGCUCUUUUGGAUCCUUAGUGUUCUGGACAAAUGAUACACAUUUCUUCUGACACUUCCAUGUGUUAUUUUUAAACAGUUUUUUGUGCUGCUUGCCAACAUUUUAUCCUUACAGUUCUUUGAAUUUUGUAUGAAAAACCCCUAUGAACAAACUGUAUACAAAUCAGAAGAUCUUUUUUUAAAGUCAGACAUCAUCUUAAGGGAUUUGGGGUUUUAUGAUCCUGCUAAGAUACUGAAUUCAAGUACAUUUUGGUCACUAUUGUAGAAUAGCCCUUUCUUAAUAGCAGUUUGAACCUCAAAUGCUGAAUUUGGCCAGAACUGCCUAAAGAACUGCUUUUCCCAUUGGAAAUAGUUUAAUUCAGUUCUCAAAAUUCAGUUACUAAAUUUUGGUAUGGCCCAAAUGCCACCCAGGCCCAGGUGCCAAAGAGCUUGGGUGGCUCUGGGCCUCCUGCCUGGAGUCACGUGCUGCUUAGGAACAGCAAGGAGUCAGGUAAGAAACUAUCAGAGUCCUGAGGAGGGACUGCAGCAAGCUGGCUUCUUGUGUUUAACAGGAUAUAAUAUAUACGUAGGGAAAUUAAGAACUGCAAAUGAAUAAAUUGUACCUAAAGAAAGUGAAAACUGCCCCAAUUUAAAAAAAAAAAAAAAGUAGGACAGCUGUGCUUUUAUACAAGAACUUGUUCUUUCUUUUAUGACGUUUAUUUCAAGUCAUGCAAACCCUUCAGAGCAGCUCUAAUGCCCAGUGGAGUUCUCCAACCUAAAUGACUUGUCGUCAGUGUAAGAAACAAAGAUAAUAUAAUUUGAAUACUGGAUGCAACAAUGUAAGCUGCUCUAGAGGCUGAUUCUCCUUGCUCCAAGUGGGAAUGAUGGUUCCGAACACAGUCACCGGAAUAGACUGGGAAGCAGACAUCUCAUUUGUGAAGAAAUGGCCAAAAUCUCAGCUUCCCCCCCUCUCAUUUGUUUCUUCCUGGAAAGAAAAAAACAAAACAGUUGCAUAAAGGCACUGCUAUUUCAAAGCAAAUUUUAAAACAUUUCUGAUUUGCAAGUGGCAUUUCAGCAUUUUCAUGAGAAUAAAAUGCUACUAUGGUGCUGUGUUUAAAUAUUUCAUUCCAGCUCCCUGAACAAACUUAAAAUCUUAUUAUAAGUCGUUUUGACAUAAAAGUGUGCUUCUCUGUGGUGCCCGUAGCUUAGACAUCUCCAGCUUCAAGCGCAGCUGCAGGAGCCCUCCCUGCUCAGGGCUGAUCAAAGAAAAACCACGCUGCCACCCCGGAGCCGCUGCUUGUCCUCAGCACCCAGCCCAGGAGAAUAAACACAUCCUGAACGUCCCGAGUGCUUCUUCCCUAGGGGUGAUGCAGUCUACGCAAAAUACACGUUGCUGUUGUAACCCUGCUGUGAAAAGGUUGAGUGAGUUUAGCAAACAAAAAUAACUUGCCUUCAAAUUGUGCUGAAACAAAACAUCAGCCAGCACUGGCUGCUCAAUUAAACAGUUUGUCGUGCAGCCUUUGGAGAGGAAAAUGCCUAAAAAAAGGAUUUCAGGGUACAUACAUACUGUGUGGAAAGAAUGUUUCAUGAGGAUUUUUUCAAACCUCCCUGCAAUUCCCAUGCACUGCCAUUCCUUGCCAUGCAACAUGUGUGUUGCCCUCAAAUUUGGAUAUGGCUGCGUGCGACUGUGCUGUGACAACUGCCAGGAUGUACGUGGGGCCACAGGGGGUGUAUGUGUACAUUUAGUUAUUUGGGCGGGUAGUCCCGAUGUGGGAGCAAGGAGCCAUUUUUUCCCUCCUAGAGGCUUGAGCACAUCUCUUUUGGGAGAUGCUGGCUCUCCUCUUCCUCAGCGUGGGCAUUUAAUCCCCCUGAUACCCAUGGUCACCCUGCUGGUGGGAGGGGUCCUGCUUUACCUGUCAGCGCUGGCUUUCUGCUGUGAGCACUCCACUGUUGCGUCCCACUGUUGCAACUGAAAUGGUGAUGUUGGCCGUGCACUGGGGCUCCCAGCUCCUCGUGUUUAUUGCCUUGCUCCUCGUGGUUAUGUGCAAUGCUGGUUUUGUUGGGGCUGAGAUCUCAAUGCCACAAUGGUGGCAGCUCUCCCAGGGUCUCUAAGGACCUGUUUUGGGAUUCCUAGCAUCCUGACUCCAUUGCCUGACUGCAGAAGCCCACGCCUGUGGUUGGUGAGAUGCUUACAUAUUUCUUCUGGUGUCUCUGCCCUUGAUAACACCCUGGUCUGUGGGGCGGGUAUAAGGCUCAGCCUGCAGAAGCCGAAGUCAUGGCGGUGGGUGUCUCGGGGCAGGACACAUGCUGGGACACGUAGAGGAGGAUGGGGUUACUUGCUGUCUCACAUACGGCGCCACCCGCCAGCCUUACAGAGCCUGUAUGAGCACUGUGUGUUUUGCAUCUCCACCAUUCUUGCUGAGUAGCUUUGAUGGUUCUUGAUGCAUGAGUGAGGCCCCAUCCAGCGCACGGGGAGGGUACAAGCAAGUGGAAAUCGGGGCUUAUGUUUGCCACUGAUAAAUGUAUUAGUCUUCAUAGCAGAAUUUAAACUACAACCCCUUUUCAGGCACCUCAGCACUCCGUUAUUUUGCAGGCCUUGUAAGAGAAUGUGAUUUUGCCUUUUAACUGGAGUGUAUCUUAUGCUAAGCAGUGAGAUUAAGCGUAGGGAUCCAAAAGAAGUUGCUGAAUGGCAGAAUUGCCUUUAUAAAUAACAUUAAUAAUUUAUCCGAUGCAGGGUUUUUUUGGGUAAAUGAAAUACCUGCCUCUGUAUAAAGCCCACUGAAUAGGAACACAUCUCCGCUUUUACGAGGCUUGGAUUAAAGAAGGGAAACGCUAAGGGGCUUAUCUUCGCUUCAAUUUGCAGCCCUUCCGGCUAAUGGCAAACUCAUUUAAGAAGCUCCUGUGUUUGUGCCAGCUCUGCCUUUAUUCUCGGUGCUGGAGCUCGGCUGCAUUCCUCACCACAGCACGGGAGAGAGCAGGGAGGAAGCAGUUUGUUUUCUUGACCUCGGAUUACCAGACAAAAGCUAGCAAGAAUAAUUUUCCUUGGAGUCCUCCCUAUUGUGGGUUGCUCAAAGCGGCUGCACAGCGGCUGUGGGGAAGCUGGCGGUUUGGGGACCCCGUGUGUGAAAGAGGAUGGGGCUGGUGGCUGAACGGGGAUGCGUUGAAAGAGCAUCUGUCAUCUUUCUUUUGGGACGCCUGCAUCCUCCUGCAUGGACAGUUGUGAAAUGGCAAAAUUCAUCCUCCGCAAAGCCCACGAGCUGUCACUUCUCAGCUCUUCUUUUAUGCUGGUAAAAAUCAAUUGCUUCAAAGUUCACUGAAGGUGAAGGCAACAUUUGCUUUCCAUUCAGAGCUAAGCGGGCCAUCUUCGAGAGCAAAUGCUCUCAAAAGGGAGAAUAGCAAAAAUCAGCAGAAAAAUUCUCUGAAUAAUUUGGACUAGGAAAGGAAAAAGCAAUUUGCUCCCAGUCAUUCCACAGACAAAAGUAUGAAUAAAAAAAUCAUGAGCUAUUUACCCUGCCUGGACUGUUUGCAUGAGUUUUAUGCUAUUCCAGUUUUGCUUCACCAACCCCCAAAGACCUUAUCACUGGAUCCUCAAAGGCACUUAAAGCAAGCAUGCUUUUUUUCUCCCUUUUUUUUUUUUUUUUCCAUGCUGGAUCAGCAGGGACCAAAAGCAGAGGAAACAAUAGGGGUCCUAAAUCUGAACCAUGCUGAUGCUGGCAUGUGCAUUGACCUGGAUCAGAGACCCAGACUCUGGCCGGCCAACUCUACCAACAUAGAAAUUUUAUCCAAAAUAGUAUUACAAGCUUGGGUGCUUUGCAUUCAGAUAGUGAGGCUGUGGCAAAGGCACGGCGGGUAUUUACAAUCUACUUUAGAAAAACCUGAUACAUGUUGUUAGCUAUUCUGUUGUAAAAGCAGUUUACGUUACCCACAUCUGUUGCUUUAGGUGGCCCAGCCAGACGGCUGGUGCUGCUCGAAGUGCCAAAGACCACGGUGCUGCAAUGAGGAGAGGAAAGAGAAAGGUGGAUGAAGACCUCGUAAGCUUUAUUAAAACCCACCAAAAACGUCAGGAGAUUUGGGGAUUACGCUGUGUAAUUACAUUACCUUAAGAAACAAAGUUUAGUGAAAAUUUCCUGUUUUGUGUUGCCAGCACUUUUCAGCCAUUAGUAACACAUAACUUCUCAUUGUCUUUUCCCGAGGCACAGAUGGGCUAAUUUUCAGCUACCUGAUAAUUACACAUUGUUUGAAACUGUAUCAAAAGCUUCUGUUCCUGCAUUCUUCCAGUAGCUGUUCUUACAGUUCACAAAGUCCCUUGGUUGGGGCUUGCAAAGGUCCCCAUCCAUCGGUCCGUCUGUCCGUCUGGAGGGCCAGGUGCAGAGCAGCAAAACCUCCACCUUCACCCACAGGCGUUGCAGGCUGCUUGUACGGAUUUGCACCAUUCCCAACCCGGGUGGAUUGCCUGAAGCUCCAUCAAAAGCAUCGUCUCGGCUCAAUGCCAGGAUCUGAGGGGAGCAGUUUGCUGUUGUGCACCAUCUUUGGUCUCUUCUGGGAACUGCCAGUUCUCAUACGUUUCCUCGCCACGUAUUUCCAUCCAAGAGAGCUUCUCCACCGCUUCCCUGAUCUCUGCCAGAUGCUUGUUAUUUUGUUACUUCUAUUCUUCCGUCUUGCUGUGCUGGUGGGAAGAGACACUCAGGUAAUACAUAGCUUCUAUUGCCAAAUCUCUUGGGGUGCAAGUUAAGGACUAGCCUGAUAAGGCUGCAAAACUGAAGGGGGGGGUGGGAAUCACUGAAAGCUCCUAAACCCCUCCUGGCAGUGGUCCCAGGUGGAACUGCCUGAGUGUUGCGGUGGAGGGGCCGUUGCUUGGGCAAAAAGAUCCAAAUUGGCCAGUUGGUCCAUGUUGGGCAGUAUGUGGGAGGGGGGCUCUGCAGCAGGACCCCCCAGACCCUGGCAUCUCCCAGAGCCAUUUCUGAUGUCCUGUGUGCACAUGGGGCUGGGAUGAAAAAGCAGCUCUGCUCAUGCCUCGGUUCUCCAGGCGACAUUCGUAUCCUCGGCUCAGGAGAGCCAAAGCAUUGCCCACCUCCCUAGCCUGGUUGCCAGCGCUGGGCUGGAGGCUCGGUGCAGUGGCACUGGUCACCUGCCUGAUGGUCACCAGGCUGGCCCGAGUAUCUUCUCGUUUCUCCUGUGGCCAUUUGGAGACAAGUGCUGCUGGGAAGGCGGCUCCUGCAAGGAGGAGUUUGAGGUGCCCUUGGGGGCAUUUCACAUUCAGAUCCUCAACGUUUCUGAGUGCAGUUUUGUUUCGAGUUUUACAAAUGCUCUUCUGCUUGCUUGCUUGCCUCAAGUAAUGAGGCAGCGAGAUAAAAGACAAGGCCACAGAAGGUUGUUAAAAAAUUACUUGCAAAUUAAUGUGAGGACAAGGUGUAUGAGUUAAUAUCGUAUAAAGACCCUUGAAAUCGGUAUACAUGUGUGCACCCUCCGAGCACUGACAUUCGCAGGCAGAACUACACUGGUAAACCGAGCCCAAGGGGCUUGAUUAACAGGAAAUGUUCAGAAUGCCAAUUAGAGCAAAGUUUACCGAACAAAUUGUUUGCACUUGUACCCUAGAACCAUCAUGAAUUUUAAUUCAGCAUGGAUUUAUGUGGCUGAAACAAUAAUUAAAGAUACAUGAACGCCUCACGUUCACGGGACUCCCCCACAGCUGCGCUGUAGUUUUAGGUGGGGAAGGGAGCGAAGAGCCCCUUUGGGCAGGGUCUGCUCUCACUUGGGAGGUGCAGGAGGCUUUUCCCCAUGGAGAUAGAAGCAGGUUCCCAAGUACUGAGCUCACCGAUUUGUCUUUGAUUUCUUUUUUCUUUUUCUUUUCUUCUUCAUUUAUGUAAUCUGAGCAAGAAUGAUCCAUGGGAUGUUUUCCUCAAUAAAUAAUGGCUUGUCUUUUCCUGCCUGCCGCUUCUGGUGGCUCUGAAAUGUUAAAUCAUCUCCUUGGAUAUCCCAAGGCUGGAGCCUGGCCCUGUGCUCUGCCUGCAGCCCUGGAGGGGACACAGGGAUCCCCUCUUUCCUUAUUCCUGCUCCUGCUCUGCCAGUCCCAGGUUUGGCCAUGGGGGAAGAGCCCUGUAUGCCACCGUAACGCCAGGAGCAGCUUUGCUGGAGGAGAAAGUGGUGCUACUGUACAGCAUCGGGGAAAAGUCACAAUUGAGCAGUGCGAUGUAUAUGUAUGCCUUCAUUUGAAUUCUUCUCUCCCUCUCCUCGUGCUGGUAAAUAAGUUACACAUAUUUUUAGAAGAAGUUAUUUUCUGUCACUGCACUUUUAAAUAUCAAGCUCCUGGAGAGAAGUCUUCAGAUAGUUUAAGGUCAGUCAGGCUUCAAGGAAGAAGUACGGAGGUGGGGAAUAAAAGCGGCUGUUGGGCUGUGGUCCAGGCUAAACCCAGGCUGUGGUCUAAAGGAUGGGCCAGCACGAGCAUCCCGCACAGACGCAGCAGCCAGGGGGCCAGGGGCAUUGCUCUCCCUGUACUUCAGCAGUUUCCCUCUGUUAUGGAAUAGCUAAAAAGCUUUGACAAAAAAAGCCGGUGGCUGAAAAUUAUCUGGCCUGUUAGCUCAGGAAUACUGAUGAAUAAUGCAUACAUCCAAAGGUCAGUUUACAAAUGAUUAAUUAACCUUAAGAGAGGUUAUCUUCUUUGGCGACAUCCGUUGUCCUAAAUGGCUUAAUCAUGUCUGCACAGGAUAAUGUGUUUGAAACAAUUCCUUGGGAAAUCGAGGGAUCAUGGAGCAAGUGCUGGACCCCUGCGUGGGUCAUGGUAGAGACGGGCCAGCAGCAGGCACGGGGACUGCAACAGGUCUCCAGGCUUUGCUGUGCUGUGCGUGGUGUAAGGCAGGCUCAAACAUCACUUACUGGAGCCCGGUGCCUGCUCACGUGCAUGCUGAGCUGUGUCUGGGAGGGUGCAGAAAUUGCACCUUUGCUGGGGUAAACAGUUCGGGCACCUGCUUCCCCGCUUUGACAUAGGAGCACCGCUCUCUUGCCAGAGAGCUGCUCCGGGUGCCUCCCGCUGCGACUAAUGGCAGCUGCACUCAGUGGGCAAACCGGCCGUUAGUCCAAGGGCUUUUUGCAUUUGUUAUCAGUGAUUUGUUACGUGCAUCUAUUAAUAAAGUGCUCCUAAAAAGCA